RNAcentral lists this unclassified non-coding RNA (201 nucleotides) under uncultured fungus. RNAcentral describes it as "sequence contains ITS1". The record is from RNAcentral. Lineage: Eukaryota; Fungi.
UUAACUAUUUAAGUCACUGCUCGGACGUCACGGUUGACAGGGUUGGAGGGUCUCUGACGGGCGCACGUCCACCGAGGUCGACGGGGGGCCGGAGCCCCGCGGCCCGCCAAAGCAACAAAGGUAGGUAGACAUGGGUGGGAGGUUCGGGCCCCGAAAAACCCUAUCUCGGUAAUGAUCCCUCCGCAGGUUCACCUACGGAAA